Molecule: ribosomal RNA, 754 nt
Filed under: Anisakis sp. SAN-2004
Lineage: Eukaryota; Metazoa; Nematoda; Chromadorea; Rhabditida; Anisakidae
Description: LSU rRNA
Rfam family: Eukaryotic large subunit ribosomal RNA
Source: RNAcentral
CAUAGUACGGCGAGUGAAAUGGGAAAAGCCCAGCGCUGAAUCCAUCGAUCACUGGUCGCUUGGAAUUGUAGCGUAUAGGUGCGGCUGUCCGCUCGUUUCGUGCACCCAAAGUCCCCUUGAGCGGGGCCAUAGUCCAAAGAAGGUGCUAGACCUGUACGGGUGGCGAGACGAUCGGUUGGUCGCUCCUUGGAGUCGGGUUGCCUGGGAUCGCAGCCCAAAGUUGGUGGUAGACCUCAUCUAAGGCUAAAUAUGGCCACGAAACCGAUAGCAAACAAGUACCGUGAGGGAAAGUUGCAAAGAACUUUGAAGAGAGAGUUCAAGAGGGCGUGAAACCGCCGAGAUUGAAACGGAUAGAGUUGACGAAACUCGAUCGCAUUCAUCCGAUCCGCCUAGCGGUUCGGCGGUUGUUGACUUCCUCGAUGAGGGCAACGCCGUCGCUGGCUGUUGGGUGUUAGAUGGGUGUAUUUGCGGUCGGUAUGCGCCGAGAGCUUUGCGAACGCAUGUUGGCGUUGAUGUAGUGGACCACUCCCUCCGGGCGUGGAACCCUGCACUGACUGAGGCAUGUCGUUUGUAGGGUGUUGCUGGUUGACGUCUCCGCUAUGGUGCGUCGGCUUUGUCGGACUGUUGUGGCUACUGGGUGAUCGCAUGCGAGCGCCUGUGGUUUAUGAUCGUACGAUGAGGUGCAGACGCGCUUGAGACGUGCAUCUCGGUGUGAACGUUGACCACCUAUCCGACCCGUCUUGAAACACGGAUA